This 200-nucleotide long non-coding RNA is filed under the name Hordeum vulgare. RNAcentral's name for it is "long non-coding RNA (HVUL_LNC006585)". The record is from RNAcentral. Lineage: Eukaryota; Viridiplantae; Streptophyta; Magnoliopsida; Poales; Poaceae.
AAAAAUAAAGGAACCCUAGUUCUUCCUAAUGCAAUUUUAAAAUAAGUUUUAUGCAAUAGGCUACACAAAAAGCAUUUGAAAACUUAACUAAAGAUAAUUUCGGACAUUAUAAAAAUUUGCAACACCAAGUCGGUAACUCCAAAUAAUAUUCGAAACGUUAUGCACUUUUAUUUGACACGGGAAAAGUCAUAUUAUCUUCA